GACAGAGGUGCCGAGCGUUAGGCGGAAUCACUGGGCUUAAAGCGUGUGUAGGCGGGCCGUUAAGUAUCUUGUGAAAUCCCCCGGCUCAACCGGGGAAUGGCUGGAUAUACUGGCGGUCUUGAGCAAUUCAGGGGCAGAUGGAACAGACGGUGGAGCGGUGAAAUGUGUUGAUAUCAUCAGGAACUCCGGUGGCGAAAGCGGCGUGCUGGACCUUACUGACGCUGAGGCGCGAAAGCCAGGGGAGCAAACGGG
Molecule: ribosomal RNA, 252 nt
Filed under: uncultured bacterium
Lineage: Bacteria
Description: partial 16S ribosomal RNA
Rfam family: Bacterial small subunit ribosomal RNA
Source: RNAcentral